RNAcentral lists this ribosomal RNA (500 nucleotides) under uncultured bacterium. RNAcentral's name for it is "partial 16S ribosomal RNA". It matches the Rfam family "Bacterial small subunit ribosomal RNA", at positions 30 to 523 of the family's 1533-position model. The record is from RNAcentral.
AUUGAACGCUGGCGGCAUGCCUUACACAUGCAAGUCGAACGGUAACGGGUCCUUCGGGAUGCCGACGAGUGGCGAACGGGUGAGUAAUAUAUCGGAACGUGCCCAGUAGUGGGGGAUAACUGCUCGAAAGAGCAGCUAAUACCGCAUACGACCUGAGGGUGAAAGGGGGGGAUCGGAAGACCUCUCGCUAUUGGAGCGGCCGAUAUCAGAUUAGCUAGUUGGUGGGGUAAAGGCCUACAAAGGCAACGAUCUGUAGUUGGUCUGAGAGGACGACCAGCCACACUGGGACUGAGACACGGCCCAGACUCCUACGGGAGGCAGCAGUGGGGAAUUUUGGACAAUGGGCGCAAGCCUGAUCCAGCAAUGCCGCGUGCAGGAAGAAGGCCUUCGGGUUGUAAACUGCUUUUGUCAGGGAAGAAAUCUUCUGGGCUAAUACCCCGGGAGGAUGGCGGUACCUGAAGAAUAAGCACCGGCUAACUACGUGCCAGCAGCCGCGGUAA